UUAUCGUACAACGGAGGUGCGAGGGCUGUCGCUGACCUUCAAGGGUCGUGCACGCCCGAGCACUCUCACACAAUCCAUCUCUCACCCCUUGUGCAUCACCGCGUGGGUCUUCCUCCCCCUUGUGGGGAGGGCUCGCGCUUUCACAUAAAACUCGAUACAGUGUAGAAUGUUUUUUCUUUGCGGUCACACGCAAUCAAUACAACUUUCAACAACGGAUCUCUUGGCUCUCGCAUCGAUGAAGAACGCAGCGAAAUGCGAUACGUAAUGUGAAUUGCAGAAUUCAGUGAAUCAUCGAAUCUUUGAACGCACCUUGCGCCCCUCGGCAUUCCGAGGGGCACACCCGUUUGAGUGUCGUGAAAUUCUCAAAAACCCUUUUCUUUCUGGAAAAGGACUUUUGGACUUGGAGGUUCAAUGCUCGCUUUCGCCUUUGAAAGUGAGCUCCUCUCAAAUGGAUUAGUGGGGUCCGCUUUGCCGAUCCUCGACGUGAUAAGAUGUUUCUACGUUUUGGAUUUGGCACUGUCUCUUGGACGUUCGCUUCUAACCGUCUCAUGGACAAACGAUGGUGCUCCGGUCACUGCCAUCUACGUUGGCGGGAAGGCUGGACCCACAAAAAAAAACCUUGACCUCAAAUCGGGUGAGACUACCCGCUGAACUUAAGCAUAUCAAUAAGCGGAGGAAAAGAAACUAACAAGGAUUCCCCUA
Molecule: ribosomal RNA, 702 nt
Filed under: uncultured Russulaceae
Lineage: Eukaryota; Fungi; Basidiomycota; Agaricomycetes; Russulales; Russulaceae
Description: eukaryotic LSU rRNA
Rfam family: 5.8S ribosomal RNA (bases 201-354)
Source: RNAcentral